Molecule: long non-coding RNA, 866 nt
Organism: Corythoichthys intestinalis (scribbled pipefish)
Lineage: Eukaryota; Metazoa; Chordata; Actinopteri; Syngnathiformes; Syngnathidae
Exons: 3
Source: RefSeq, a predicted model, not a curated record
UCACACAUGCAUAUCGGACAAUUUUGAAAGUUGGUCAAAUUGGGGGUCUCAGAGCGGAACUUCAAGUUACCUGAGUGUUUUCCGCCAUAUAUAUAACGCUAGGUGACGUUCACGUUCAUGCGCCGCAGUGACGUUAAUUAAGUUCGACAGCAGAGGGCGAUAUUGGAUAAAAAUGGCGGCCUUUUGAAACGAAUGAAAAUCGGACAAUUUAUUUGCUAUUUUUAUUCACUUUAAUUGCUAUUGCACGAACGUCAUGUCAUUUAAAAUAAUGUGUUUAAACCAACAGUUGCAUCUAUAACAGAUUCUUGACAAAAAAUUAAGUAGCUGCCACAUUUUCUUCCCUUUUGGCCUACUCACCACAGUACCAACGCCAUAUGUGGUUGUUGGCCCCACAGAGUGAUGAUAGGGGUCUGCAGCUGCGGCAUACACGCGACCAUAUCUGGUGAAAUUGUCACAAUAUCGGCAGAUGGUGACUGAGCCACCCUAUAUGCAGGAUAACCUCCCUGGAACACAUCACAUAACCAAUGAACAAAAUGAUGAUAGGAAAUGAGUGGACACUGAGAAGGGUAGGCAGGCACAGCAGCAGGCGUGGCCGCGGCGGAGCGGAUGGUGUUGUAAACGGUCCGACCUCGACCCCUCAGUGCCGAACCGCGGUAAGCCAAAGCGGGCGCCGCCACUGGGUAUGGGAAACCGGCGACUACAGAAGAAACUAGUUAUUCGCUACCCUUAAGUAUCAUGAUGUGGUAGAUUGUGUUUACUUACCUGUAUAGAGUUCUGGUGCGUACAUGGCCCCCAUGACAGGGUUGAUCUUCCACCCAGAAGCUGCACAGACAAGAAAGUAUAAUUGACAACUAUGAAAUUUGACA